UGCUAUACAUGCAGUCGAACGCUUCUUUCCUCCCGAGUGCUUGCACUCAAUUGGAAAGAGGAGUGGCGGACGGGUGAGUAACACGUGGGUAACCUACCCAUCAGAGGGGGAUAACACUUGGAAACAGGUGCUAAUACCGCAUAACAGUUUAUGCCGCAUGGCAUAAGAGUGAAAGGCGCUUUCGGGUGUCGCUGAUGGAUGGACCCGCGGUGCAUUAGCUAGUUGGUGAGGUAACGGCUCACCAAGGCCACGAUGCAUAGCCGACCUGAGAGGGUGAUCGGCCACACUGGGACUGAGACACGGCCCAGACUCCUACGGGAGGCAGCAGUAGGGAAUCUUCGGCAAUGGACGAAAGUCUGACCGAGCAACGCCGCGUGAGUGAAGAAGGUUUUCGGAUCGUAAAACUCUGUUGUUAGAGAAGAACAAGGACGUUAGUAACUGAACGUCCCCUGACGGUAUCUAACCAGAAAGCCACGGCUAACUACGUGCCAGCAGCCGCGGUAAUACGUAGGUGGCAAGCGUUGUCCGGAUUUAUUGGGCGUAAAGCGAGCGCAGGCGGUUUCUUAAGUCUGAUGUGAAAGCCCCCGGCUCAACCGGGGAGGGUCAUUGGAAACUGGGAGACUUGAGUGCAGAAGAGGAGAGUGGAAUUCCAUGUGUAGCGGUGAAAUGCGUAGAUAUAUGGAGGAACACCAGUGGCGAAGGCGGCUCUCUGGUCUGUAACUGACGCU
This 728-nucleotide ribosomal RNA is filed under the name Enterococcus faecalis. RNAcentral's name for it is "bacterial SSU rRNA". It matches the Rfam family "Bacterial small subunit ribosomal RNA", at positions 45 to 747 of the family's 1533-position model. The record is from RNAcentral. Lineage: Bacteria; Bacillati; Bacillota; Bacilli; Lactobacillales; Enterococcaceae.